Molecule: long non-coding RNA, 324 nt
Filed under: Brachypodium distachyon (stiff brome)
Lineage: Eukaryota; Viridiplantae; Streptophyta; Magnoliopsida; Poales; Poaceae
Description: long non-coding RNA (BDIS_LNC002881)
Source: RNAcentral
GGUCACUUGGAGAUCUCGGUCAAAAAUUGGUAUAUGAAAAUGAGUAGUCAAAAGUUUCGGCUUCCCAUACAAUGCUUGUAUCCUGGGAGACUUGGAAUGAGAGAAGUGUGCCUCGAUCAUGCUGGCAAAGAUAAAGCUCGCCGCUGCCAACCCGGUGUCCGCAGGCGCAAAACGGUUGGGUUCUUCGAUGUCGAGAGUAGGCAUUUUUGUAGACGCUGUUUGUCGUGCUUUUCUUUGCCUUUUCGUGCUUCUCUGGUCAGUUGCACUCUCGCUAUCUUUUAAUGAAUGGAUCGCCUCUGUUUCGAAUGAAAAAAAAAAUCACAA